This is a long non-coding RNA of Neltuma alba, 707 nucleotides long. RefSeq lists it as uncharacterized. Lineage: Eukaryota; Viridiplantae; Streptophyta; Magnoliopsida; Fabales; Fabaceae. The record is from RefSeq and is a predicted model, not a curated record. The transcript is spliced from 3 exons.
CCUAGCUAGUUCCACCAAUACCAAUGCCAGCAUAUAUUUUCUGAACCGUUAUGUUGUGCAGCCGGACAAGAUCGCUGCUGUAGAGACGCUGGACAGGAAUUGUAUUCAUCUACUCACUUCACUUGAGGUCAGAGACGGAGUUGCGCACUUUCAUUCCCGCAUUGGCUGGGAUUGAGGUUGGAGUUGGCUAGGCUUUGCAAAGGUUUAAGACCAGUAGGCUGCAAUAUGGCGUGGAUGCCGCGAAUCUUUGGGACAAAUUUGACAUCAACACUAGGUCCUUCUGCACCUUAUUCCUCUAGAUUCUUCUCCAAAUCAGCUCCGUACAUCAUGGCAGACCUAUGGAUACGAUAAAGUCUUGUUUUGACGCUUGCUACUGCAGCAAAGGUUGGAAUCCCCGAGUUUGUAAAUGGAAUAGGGAAUGGAGUUGAAUCCCAUGUUGCUAAGCUUGAAACAGAAAUUGGUGACUUCCAGAAGCUUCUCGUCUGUCGUACCCUCAAGCUCAAGAAGCUGGGCUUUCCUUGCAAACAUAGGAAGUUAAUAUUGAAAUAUGCACACAAGUACAGGCUGGGAUUAUGGAGGCCUCGAGCUGAACUAAUCAAAUCGUGAUCGGUUUCUUAAUAACUUUUCUUUAUCACACCUGAAGUUCUAGAUGCGCCAAUAUGUGAAUGCUGGAUUUCGCAUGGAAAGAACAAGUCUAUUGCUUCUGA